This 943-nucleotide long non-coding RNA is filed under the name Marmota monax (woodchuck). The record is from RNAcentral. Lineage: Eukaryota; Metazoa; Chordata; Mammalia; Rodentia; Sciuridae.
AGUUAGAUUAGUUACACUCAUUAGAUUGCAUGGAUUGCAACAUUAUGAGGUUUGGUGCUACUUUAUCUACUUUCAGGAUGAGAAAAAUUAGAUUCAAAGAAAUUAAGUAAAAAAGGAAAGCAUUCCCUCUUUUUUUCCCAUUCCCUGAGAAUUAUUGCUUAUUGAAGUAUAAUAUUAUCUUUGCCGGUUGAGCAUGGUGGCACAUCAUGUCUUUCUCCCAGGUUCUUGGAAAGCCGAAACACAGGGAUCACAGGUUUGAGGCCAGGGUAGGCAAUUUAGUGAGACCCUGUCUCAAAAGGGGCUGGGGAUAUAACUCAGUGGUAGAGUGCUUACCUGGAAUGCCCAAGGUCCUAGGCUCAAUCUCCAGUACCACAAAACAAAUAAGUAAAAUAUUAAAUUGACAGUGGGGAAAACUCAAUGCUAUAGGUUGAAUAAGUAAUGAAAGUAAUAUCUCAAUAUUACUAUUAACACUUUGAACUUAAAAAAGAAUAAAAACAUCAUCUUGGAGCUAGGUGUGGUGGUGCAUACCUGUAAUCCAGACUGAGGAAACUGAGGCAAGAGGAUCUCAAGUAAGUUUGAGGAUAGCCUGGGCAACUUAGACUUUUGUCUCAAAAAUAAAAAGGGUUGGGGAUAUAGCUCCAUGGUAGAGUGCUUGCCUAGCAUGUGGGAGACCUUGAGUUCAAUCCCUGAUAUUGCAACAAAAAAAAAUUUUUAAGAUAUAAUUCACAUAACAUAAAUCUUAUCAUUUAAAAAUCUACAGUUAAACUUUUUUUUUUUUUAAUAUUCCCACAGAGUUGUGCAGGCAUCACCAACUCCAGAACAUUCCAUGCCCUCCGAAAGAAAAAAAACUAUUAGCAGUCACUCUACCACUGAGCCACAACCCCAGCCCACUAGUGCACUUUUGAUUUUGAUUUGCCUAAUCUGGACAUUUCAUUAAUAAAGC